This 72-nucleotide transfer RNA is filed under the name Saccoglossus kowalevskii. Its description in RNAcentral is "tRNA-Glu". It matches the Rfam family "tRNA". Rfam says of the family: Transfer RNA (tRNA) molecules are approximately 80 nucleotides in length. The record is from RNAcentral. Lineage: Eukaryota; Metazoa; Hemichordata; Enteropneusta; Harrimaniidae.
UCCCAUAUGCUCCAGUGGUUAGGAUUUGGCGCUUUCACCGCCAAGGCCCGGGUUCAAUUCCAGGUGUGGGAA